CUGAGAUGGGGAAGAAGGGAAGAGAGGGAUGGGUGUAGAAACUUGGUGCUGAGUCAUCCUGAUGAAGACAAAUGUCCCAGCAUUUGUCUUCCUCCUCCUUGAAAACAUGGCAGCAGAGGUGCCUGAGGGUCCUCUUCACAGCAGAUGGAAACCUAGGCAUGAAGGCCUGGGGCUAGGAAUGUGACCGGGAAGACAGGAAGACCAGAGGGAAGCUGAGGACCAGACAAGAGGUGCCUGAAGGGUUCUCUGCACAGCAGAUAGAAAUCUAGGCAUGAAGACUUGGAACUAGGAAUUUGAGCAGGAAAUCAGGAAGACCAGAGGGGAGCUGAGGAGCCCAGUCCUUCCAAGCCUGAGACAUUGUAAGCAGUGAGUCCACUGGGAAGGAAAACAACCAGUCCUGGUGUUUUGCCUUCAGGGAAAGCCUUGCUUUUAAGGCAAGUUAAUGUUUACCUGAAGAAUAGGUGACAACUUCCAGAAAGGACUUGGCAUAAUGAACUAUAAUCCAGAAAUAGAGGGCACACCCGUGAUCCAGAUUUUGAGGCCAGAAGACAACAUUCCUUUGAACUGGAUCUUCAGGCUGGAAGACACAACACCUUAAAUCCCCACCUCGAGGCUGGAAGGCACACCUUUAAUCUGGGCCACACCUUCUGCUGAAAUCCUGUAUAAGGACAGUGGAAGAAGGGUUUGUUCUUUUUUCCCUGCUUGCCUUUGCCUUGUCAUUCAGAAGACCAGCUGGGACACCCAGCCUCGUGGGACCAAGCAGCUACUAGAUUCUUGGACUUCCCUUCACAACUAGCCAUUGUUGGACUGCAGCCUGGUAUGCUGGACCUGCAACUCCUUUGCCUGCUACAUGAUGACUGCUCAGUCUCCACAGAGAAGAGAGUGAUUUCCUCUUUGUCCCUGCUUAUAUACUGAUUAUGCCCAGAUAUGCCACUUCCUGUUUAUCAGUACAGACCUCCUGACUUCUAUGAUUAGCUAGUGGCAAGUUUCUGCCCAGCUAUGUCACUUCCUAUCUGGCUAAUUAGCCAACCAGUGUUUUAUUCAUUAACCAAUAAGAGAAACAUAUACAGAGAAGAAUGUUACACAUAACACACCCAUGAGUACACAUGACCUGGUACACAAACACAUAUACCACAUACAGUACAAAAUAAAGUAAAAUAAUAAAAGAAAUAAUAUAUAUAAGGGGUUGUCUUUGAUUUAAACUCCAAGGAAUGGUCGGGCAUUGGUGGUGCACACCUUUA
Molecule: long non-coding RNA, 1241 nt
Filed under: Cricetulus griseus (Chinese hamster)
Lineage: Eukaryota; Metazoa; Chordata; Mammalia; Rodentia; Cricetidae
Description: lncRNA (ENSCGRG00015029437.1)
Source: RNAcentral